Molecule: unclassified non-coding RNA, 336 nt
Filed under: soil metagenome
Description: partial contains 5.8S ribosomal RNA, internal transcribed spacer 2, and large subunit ribosomal RNA
Rfam family: 5.8S ribosomal RNA (bases 1-120)
Source: RNAcentral
GAUGAAGAACGUAGCGAAAUGCGAUAAGUAAUGUGAAUUGCAGAAUUCCGUGAAUCAUCGAAUCUUUGAACGCACAUUGCGCCCCCUGGUAUUCCGGGGGGCAUGCCUGUCCGAGCGUCAUUGCAACCUUCAAGCGCGGCUUGUGUGUUGGGUCUCGUCCCCUGUGGACGGGCCCGAAAGGCAGUGGCGGCGUCCCGACAUGGUGCCCGAGCGUAUGGGAAUCCUCUUCCGCUCGAAUCGGCCCAUGCGGCGCUGGUCGUAACCAAAUUUUUUACCGGUUGACCUCGGAUCAGGUAGGGAUACCCGCUGAACUUAAGCAUAUCAAUAAGCGGAGGA